GUCGGNCAUGCCUAAUACAUGCAAGUCGAGCGAAUGGAUUAAGAGCUUGCUCUUAUGAAGUUAGCGGCGGACGGGUGAGUAACACGUGGGUAACCUGCCCAUAAGACUGGGAUAACUCCGGGAAACCGGGGUUAAUACCUGGAUAACAUUUUGAACCGCAUGGUUCGAAAUUGAAAGGCGGCUUCGGCUGUCACUUAUGGAUAGGACCCGCGUCGCAUUAGCUAGUUGGUGAGGUAACGGCUCACCAAGGCAACGAUGCGUAGCCGACCUAGAGAGGGUAGAUCGGCCACACUGGGACUGAGACACGGCCCAGACUACCUACGGGAGGCAGCAGAAGGGAAUCUUCCGCAAUGGACGAAAGUCUGACGGAGCAACGCCGCGUGAGUGAUAGAAGUGCUUUCGGGUCGUAAAACUCUGUUGUUAGGGAAGAACAAGUGCUAGUUGAAUAAGCUGGCACCUUGACGGUACCUAACCAGAAAGCCACGGCUAACUACGUAGCCCAGCAAGCCCGCAGGGUAAUAACCGNUUAGGGUCAGGCCAAGCGGUAANCCGGGAAAUAAAUUAGGGGACGUUNAAAAAGCGCGCA
This 586-nucleotide ribosomal RNA is filed under the name uncultured bacterium. RNAcentral describes it as "bacterial SSU rRNA". The stretch from base 1 to 519 matches the Rfam family "Bacterial small subunit ribosomal RNA", at positions 38 to 537 of the family's 1533-position model. The record is from RNAcentral.